This 253-nucleotide ribosomal RNA is filed under the name uncultured bacterium. Its description in RNAcentral is "partial 16S ribosomal RNA". It matches the Rfam family "Bacterial small subunit ribosomal RNA", at positions 524 to 776 of the family's 1533-position model. The record is from RNAcentral.
GACGGAGGAUGCAAGCGUUAUCCGGAAUUAUUGGGCGUAAAGCGUCCGCAGGUGGCUGUUCAAGUCUGCUGUCAAAGCGCAGAGCUUAACUCUGUACAGGCGGUGGAAACUGAAGAGCUAGAGUAUGGUAGGGGUAGAGGGAAUUCCCGGUGUAGCGGUGAAAUGCGUAGAUAUCGGGAAGAACACCAGUGGCGAAAGCGGCUCGCUGGACCGGUUCUGACGCUGAGGCGCGAAAGCGUGGGGAGCAAACGGG